UACAGAGGGUGCGAGCGUUAAUCGGAAUUACUGGGCGUAAAGCGUGCGUAGACGGCUAUCUAAGUCGGGUGUGAAAGCCCCGGGCUCAACCUGGGAAUUGCAUUCGAGACUGAAUAGCUAGGGUACGGUAGAGGGAAGUGGAAUUUCCGGUGUAGUGGUGAAAUGCGUAGAUAUCGGGAGGAACACCAGUGGCGAAGGCGACUACCUGGCCUGUUCUUGACGCUGAGGCGCGAAAGCUAGGGGAGCAAACGGG
Molecule: ribosomal RNA, 253 nt
Filed under: uncultured bacterium
Lineage: Bacteria
Description: partial 16S ribosomal RNA
Rfam family: Bacterial small subunit ribosomal RNA
Source: RNAcentral